Molecule: ribosomal RNA, 184 nt
Filed under: uncultured bacterium
Lineage: Bacteria
Description: partial 16S ribosomal RNA
Rfam family: Bacterial small subunit ribosomal RNA
Source: RNAcentral
CCUACGGGAGGCAGCAGUGAGGAAUUUUGCGCAAUGGGCGAAAGCCUGACGCAGCGACGCCGCGUGGAGGAAGAAGGCCUUUGGGUUGUAAACUCCUUUCGUGAGGGAAAAAGUCCCGAGCAAUCGGGAUGAUGGUACCUCAAGGAGAAGCCACGGCUAACUCUGUGCCAGCAGCCGCGGUAAU